RNAcentral lists this ribosomal RNA (484 nucleotides) under uncultured bacterium. RNAcentral's name for it is "partial 16S ribosomal RNA". It matches the Rfam family "Bacterial small subunit ribosomal RNA", at positions 30 to 507 of the family's 1533-position model. The record is from RNAcentral.
AUUGAACGCUGGCGGCAGGCCUAACACAUGCAAGUCGAGCGGAUGAAGGGAGCUUGCUCCUGGAUUCAGCGGCGGACGGGUGAGUAAUGCCUAGGAAUCUGCCUGGUAGUGGGUGAUAACGUCCGGAAACGGGCGCUAAUACCGCAUACGUCCUGAGGGAGAAAGUGGGGGAUCUUCGGACCUCACGCUAUCAGAUGAGCCUAGGUCGGAUUAGCUAGUUUGUGGGGUAAAGGCCUACCAAGGCGACGAUCCGUAACUGGUCUGAGAGGAUGAUCAGUCACACUGGAACUGAGACACGGUCCAGACUCCUACGGGAGGCAGCAGUGGGGAAUAUUGGACAAUGGGCGAAAGCCUGAUCCAGCCAUGCCGCGUGUGUGAAGAAGGUCUUCGGAUUGUAAAGCACUUUAAGUUGGGAGGAAGGGCAGUAAGUUAAUACCUUGCUGUUUUGACGUUACCAACAGAAUAAGCACCGGCUAACUUCGUG